CUUGUGAUGGAAUUUGUUAUUUAUGUGCCUUUUUCCCGUGUUUUUUUUUUUUAUCACCUCAAUUAGUCAAUCAAGCAAUUGUAUCAAAUAUGAAUACUAUAAGAUAGCAGUUCAGUUAAACCUCAAUAUAGGAGGAAAAACAAUUCAGUAGUGUCAAGUAAACAGUAGGUUAAUUGUAGGAAGAAAUCAAAUAAUCCAGCAAUCAUGAAGCGAAUAGUUUGUGCUCGGAAAUCUACUUUGAAGUUGAUGGCUGCAUUGAAAACAGCCGGAGAGAAGCAUCUAUCAUCUUCAAAGGAGGAUAAUCUUGCACAAGAAUUGGAGUCCGAGUACAAUCAGCUUGUCGAUCACUACGAGAAAACGGUCGAGAGUUUAAGAGGAAACAAGACGACCGCUCAGUACGAGUCUGACUUCACGAUGUUUUGGAACUUCAUUACGAAGGCACACGAUCACCAGAAACGGUUGUGGAUGAAGUGCAAGGACUUACAGCACCUUGCGUCUCUUAAUUCGAAUAAACUCUCAAGUGCCUUGAAGAACGCUCAGUCUGGACAGGAGUCUGUCGAAGAGUUGAAGAAGGUAAACGUUAGCUUGACAAGACCCAAGUA
Molecule: long non-coding RNA, 602 nt
Filed under: Bemisia tabaci
Lineage: Eukaryota; Metazoa; Arthropoda; Insecta; Hemiptera; Aleyrodidae
Description: lncRNA ENSSWEETPG003069
Source: RNAcentral